AUACGGAAGGUCCGGGCGUUAUCCGGAUUUAUUGGGUUUAAAGGGAGCGCAGGCCGGUGUGUAAGUGUGACGUCAAAUACAGCCGCUCAACGGUUGUCCGCGUCGCGAACUGCAUGCCUUGAGUACGCUGCAAGUGGGCGGAAUUCGUGGUGUAGCGGUGAAAUGCUUAGAUAUCACGAAGAACUCCGAUUGCGAAGGCAGCCCGCUGUUGCGUCACUGACGCUGAGGCUCGAAGGUGCGGGUAUCGAACAGGAUUAGAUACCCUGGUAGUCCGCACUGUAAACGAUGGACACCCGCUGUGUGGCCAUUAUGGUUGCGCGGCCAAGCGAAAGCAUUAAGUGUCCCACCUGGGGAGUACGCCGGCAACGGUGAAACUCAAAUGAAUUGACGGGG
Molecule: ribosomal RNA, 393 nt
Filed under: uncultured bacterium
Lineage: Bacteria
Description: partial 16S ribosomal RNA
Rfam family: Bacterial small subunit ribosomal RNA
Source: RNAcentral